RNAcentral lists this long non-coding RNA (1967 nucleotides) under Nicotiana tabacum (common tobacco). RNAcentral describes it as "long non-coding RNA (NTAB_LNC015441)". Lineage: Eukaryota; Viridiplantae; Streptophyta; Magnoliopsida; Solanales; Solanaceae. The record is from RNAcentral.
UUAAUUCUGACAAAUUGAAACAAAAAAAUUACGUGUAUAUUACAGAAGGCCGCCUAUCUAAUGUUCUUAAUUCUCCCAAAAAUCCUACUCGUGAUCUCUCCCCUUUCCUCAAACACAAAAUCACGAUUGCCAUCUUUUUAUAUUCGCGAAAUUAUCGAGGCGUCGUGAAACUCCAGCAUCCUAAUGAGAUUUUUCUUCUGGACUCGCUUCAUAUACCUUUCAAGCGUUCCAAUCAAUUCAUCUCGAAGUUCAUAGUCGCGCUCGAUUAGCGGAUAAGCCAAUUCCAGCAUGACGCAGAGAAUCAAAAGGGGAGAUGACCUGGUUGGUGUUAGACUAUUCUAGAAUUCUAAACAUUACCAAAAUUUAGGCCUCAUUUCAUACACCAUCGGCUGUCAUAUCUAAUCUGUUCUCUAGUCAAUAAUACCAUUGUUGAUAAUUCUCGAUAUUUUAGUCAAGGUUACUAAGUUUCGGGUAAGUUCUAUUCACCUAUGAUUCGGUGCUAUUCUUGGAUUGAAAUUCUGGUUGUCUGCCUUUAAAAUGGUUCCAAACUUUUGUUCCAUCCUAUUCUAUUCCUACCAACUGUUUGAUUAAAUGCUUUAGAGGAUUAAUUAACAUUUAUUGGAUUUACACUUUCGUAGCUAAUCAUUUUUCUCAUAACUAGAGAGAAACGAAUUUAUUUUUAUCAGUAUAGCAGCUUGAUUAGAAUCCUUUUACAUUUCUCAAAAAAAGGAAUAGAAUUCUUUUGUAUAGAUGACAUUCUCAUAACUACUUGAGGUUGUAUAAGUACACUUCAUGAUUUGUCUACCAUUCCAUUCUUCUUCAUAUGCUACGUGUGACACUAGUUGAGGCUAUCUAAGUACUGCCCCUUGAGACUAUGUUAAUGAUACCUGUUGUACUUGCAACAACAGAGCUUCAUUAUGAAGCACCGAGCUGUAAAUUGUAGUACUACAUCUCUUGGUAAGAAGUUAAACAAAUCAAAUAUCAAAAGUCAGCUCUUUUGCUGCAUCUUUUCAUGUUGAAAUGAUUUUGUAUGGUACUUAUUAGAUUAUUGACAUUGCUUGGGUGUUCAAUUUGUUCUUACAACUACAGAACCUGAAAUUCAUUUACCACAUACGACAUACUGAUGCACCAGUCGAAGCAAAAGGUAAUUAAUCCAAUUAUAGGACAAUCUUUGCAUCAAUUAGAUAGUUUAUUUAAUUAUUUAUUCCCGACACCUACUCUAUAUUGAUCCAGUGAAAUGAUACUCUAUAAUCUAAUUAUUUGUUUCACUGUAAAAGACCUAAGACUAAGAUAUAAUGUAACACUGCAGACUAAUAUUUGUAAUGUUGUUUCUCUUUGCUUUAGCUUACAGAAAGCAUUAUCCAUCAUUCUUGGAAUAAUGAAAUAUGAUGGUUAGGAAAAGAUUGCUCAAGAUGUGUGUCCACCUAAACGGCUGGCUGAGAAGGGAAUAUCAUUUGUGAAAAACUUCCUUCAGCUGUAUGUAACUCCAUCUCUAUUAGUGGAAUGAUCUUUUCCAUAAGCUAAUGAUGCUGAAUUUAUACAUUUCUCUUGAGCUUCUAAUAUUGAAUCGUUUUUAUGUUUUCUUGCAGAAGGUAGGAACCACAUGACUUAUCUAUACUUCUUCAAGAUAGUGUACGAGGUACAAUCAUGUUGUUCUUUCCGCUACUUAGUAGUUUCCUAAAUUACCUUAGUGAUGAUUCUAUUCUUUUUUUGUUUCAAUUCUUGGAACAAUACCUUAGAGAAUAUGAGCAACUAAUGUAAAGGAAUCCUCCACUUGGGAAAGCAUGGACACUGAAGCUUUUCCAUCAAAAGGACAAUACUAAAACUAUGACUGGGUAGAUUGUUAUGGAAGUUUAAGGGAAAAGUUAUGUAAUUGUAUGUGAAGUAACUCUGUAUUUGGUUCAAAUUGUUUGUAAUGUACUGAAAGUAUUGAAAUAAGAAUAGAUGUUAUUGUGGAUAAAUUGUUG